ACCUCAGCUCAAGCAAGAAAACCCGCUGAACUUAAGCAUAUCAAUAAGCGGAGGAAAAGAAACUAACAAGGAUUCCCCUAGUAACGGCGAGUGAAGAGGGAAAAGCUCAAAUUUUAAAUCUACCUGGUUCCCAGGUCGAAUUGUAUUUUGAAGAAUCGAUAUUUGUGUUGAGGUCUGGUUCAAGUUCUUUGGAACAAGACAUCAUGGAGGGUGAGAAUCCCGUGCAUGAUCAGACCAAGAUACUUUAUAUUCGUUUUCUAAGAGUCGAGUUGUUUGGGAAUGCAGCUCAAAUUGGGUGGUAGACUUCACCUAAGGCUAAAUAUCAGCGAGAGACCGAUAGCGAACAAGUACUGUGAAGGAAAGAUGAAAAGCACUUUGAAAAGAGAGUUAAAUAGUACGUGAAAUUGUUGAAAGGGAAACGAUUGAAGUCAGUCAUGCUAGUGAAAAUUCAGUUUGACGGGUUUUGGGUUUGGGAGUAAGAGGUAGGGUCAAACCGUCUCUCUUUUAAACUUGGGAUUUGUCGGAUGCACUUUUUCUUUGGCAGGUCAGCGUCGAUUUCAGAGGCUGUAAAAUACUUGGGGGAAAGUAGCUCUGCUUCGGGAGAGUGUUAUAGAUCCUGGGGGAUGCAACCUGUGGGAUCGAGGAUUGCAGCAAAUGCCUUUGGCUUGUCGCCUGAUCUCUGGUUGUUACCUCAUUUAUGACAACAUUCUUGUCAUCGAUGAGUGCUAAUGGCUAUUAGGUUAGAACGAUCAAAAAUUUGCUAAGGAUGCUGGCGUAAUGGCUUUAAACGACCCGUCUUGAAACACGGACCAAGGAGUCUAACAUAUGUGCGAGUGUUUGGGUGACAAACCCGGAACGCGUAAUGAAAGUGAAUACGGGUGGGAUCCUCCUCGUGGGGAGCACCAUCAACCGAUCAGGAUAUUUUUUGAUAGAUUUGAGUAAGAGCACAUCUGUUGGGACCCGAAAGAUGGUGAACUAUGCCUGAAUAGGGUGAAGCCAGAGGAAACUCUGGU
RNAcentral lists this ribosomal RNA (1013 nucleotides) under Diversispora versiformis. RNAcentral describes it as "eukaryotic LSU rRNA". It matches the Rfam family "Eukaryotic large subunit ribosomal RNA", at positions 1 to 868 of the family's 3401-position model. The record is from RNAcentral. Lineage: Eukaryota; Fungi; Glomeromycota; Glomeromycetes; Diversisporales; Diversisporaceae.